Molecule: ribosomal RNA, 301 nt
Filed under: uncultured bacterium
Lineage: Bacteria
Description: partial 16S ribosomal RNA
Rfam family: Bacterial small subunit ribosomal RNA
Source: RNAcentral
CAGUCGCCGCGGUAAUACGUAGGUGGCAAGCGUUGUCCGGAAUUAUUGGGCGUAAAGGGCUCGCAGGCGGUUUCUUAAGUCUGAUGUGAAAGCCCCCGGCUCAACCGGGGAGGGUCAUUGGAAACUGGGAAACUUGAGUGCAGAAGAGGAGAGUGGAAUUCCACGUGUAGCGGUGAAAUGCGUAGAGAUGUGGAGGAACACCAGUGGCGAAGGCGACUCUCUGGUCUGUCACUGACGCUGAGGCUCGAAAGCGUGGGUAGCGAACAGGAUUAGAUACCCCGGUAGUCCCUGUCUCUUAUAC